Oncorhynchus tshawytscha (Chinook salmon) is the source of this 1743-nucleotide long non-coding RNA. Lineage: Eukaryota; Metazoa; Chordata; Actinopteri; Salmoniformes; Salmonidae. The record is from Ensembl.
CCACUCUCUUCCCAUUCCACCCCCACCACUCUCUUCCCCUUCCACCCCAACCCCUCACCAUUUCCCCCUCCCCAACCCCUCAAACUCUCCCCUACAUGGCCCUUCUUUAGAGUCUAAGGGGCCAUAUCAAUGACCCCUCUCUCCACUGCCCCCUACCAUCCUCCAACAGCCCAAGCUGUGGAUUUCAUCUGCAGUUUUGUCACUCACAGUGCAAAUCUCAAAUGACACCUGAUUCCCUGCAGUAUGCUACUUUUCACCAUAGGGAGAUAGGGCAUGUAGUGAACUAAACAGUGAACUAUAUAGGAGAUAGGGAGCCAUUUGAGACAGUUAACCAGCUCACUAACACAGUGAGGUGGAACCUCUGUUUUAAAGCAGAGAUUCCAAAGGCAGUUGAGUUGAUUUAGCCUCUGUUCUAUAAUAACUUAAUGUGAGCUAUUUUCUGUUGAAUGUAUUCUGUAUGGUACCAUAGCAGCUGUUCAGAACAGUUUCAGACCCACCAUUACCGUUCAAUGUUUGAUUAUCAUUUACAGUAUAUCUGCAAAUACUGUGUGUGUGUGUGUGCGUGUGCGUGUGCGUGUGCGUGCGUGCGCGUGCGUGUGUGCGUGUGUGUGUGUGCGUGCGCGUGCGUGCGUGUGUGCGUGUGUGUGUGUGUGUGUGUGUGUGUAAGUUGCCGUGUUUUACCUGGCUUAUUGUCUAAGGACUGAAGAGACAGUCCUCUUUUUAUGAACGUAUUCACUGUCCACUGCUCGUUCACACUGCUGUAUUGACUAUGACCUGCUCUUACUGAGUUUUCUUACUGGCGCUACAUUUCAGCUGGUGGUAACAGUUCAAUCCAUUUACCAAACAGCUUUGACUAUCGGCUUUUCUAUGUUGUGUGUUUCUCUAUGAGUGUUCAGUUUCCUUGCUGUUGCAACCAAAGACAACCACACACGGUGAUUCACCAUCGAAGCUCGCCUGUUUUCAUAUACGAACAUGAUGACCACACACCCCCUCCGAACCCAAACCGUAACCUCUCUACCCCCUAACCCCCUUCCUCCCUAUCCACUAACUCUUAGUAAAGUUGCUACUGUAGAUGGACUCUGUUUUGCUACUCCUGCCAGAGCUGCCGGGCUGCUCCCGGAUUGGGAUACACAGACUAGGCUUUAGUAAACUGUAGACCAGGGUUGCAUAACUCCAGUCCUGGAGGGAAGUAGUAUACGCAGGUUUUAGUUCCAGCCCAGCACUAACACACCUGAUUCAGCUAAUCAAGAUCUCGAUGAUUGGUUGAUUAGUUGAACCAGGCAAGUUAUUGCUGGGGUGGAACAGAAGCCUGCAUAUACUGCAGACCUACAUAACUACCUGCUAUAGGCAGGGCACUGGGACUUCCACAGGCCGAGACGAAGUCACACGCGCUGAUGGGGUAUAUAUGCCCUCAUAUUAAAUGACAAAGCAGUGUCUGGUGGGAAAUGUAUGCUCAGUCUGCCUCUGGCAUUGUGAACUCUUAACUUGUGUGUGAGUGUCCGUGUGGUGAAGAGUGACUGCUCAAUGUUGAAAUACGUAACUUAUGUAUAAACGUAGUGUCUGUUAGAGGAAGGUACGCUCCAUAUUCUGGCUGUUUCAGAUGUGAUUGUACUGCCACCUAGUGGCGCUCCAUUGCUAUGUCAGUGUUUUACUCUUAUGGAGGCACUAAUGAAAACUUGGGAAAAACAUGUACAUUUGUGCAAGUGUUUUAUUUAAAAAACAAUAAAUGAAAAACGGACCCAA